Molecule: unclassified non-coding RNA, 171 nt
Filed under: uncultured Glomus
Lineage: Eukaryota; Fungi; Glomeromycota; Glomeromycetes; Glomerales; Glomeraceae
Description: sequence contains 18S rRNA gene
Rfam family: Eukaryotic small subunit ribosomal RNA
Source: RNAcentral
AGCAGCCGCGGUAAUUCCAGCUCCAAUAGCGUAUAUUAAAGUUGUUGCAGUUAAAAAGCUCGUAGUUGAAUUUCGGGAUCGAUACGUCGGUCGUGCCUUCGGUACGUACUGUCGUCAUCGAUUUCUCCCUUCUGACGAACCAUGAUGUCAUUAAUUUGGUGUUAUGGGAAA